Molecule: transfer RNA, 73 nt
Filed under: Nippostrongylus brasiliensis
Lineage: Eukaryota; Metazoa; Nematoda; Chromadorea; Rhabditida; Heligmosomidae
Rfam family: tRNA
About the family: Transfer RNA (tRNA) molecules are approximately 80 nucleotides in length. Their secondary structure includes four short double-helical elements and three loops (D, anti-codon, and T loops).
Source: Rfam by way of RNAcentral
GUCUCAGUGGCGUAGUGGUUAACGCACGGGCCCGAUUAGGUGCGAGACUUGGGUUCGAAUCCCGCCUAAGGUG